CAGAAACCGAGACAAAUCACUGCGCGCCACUGCCGCUUCGGAGCAUCACGUCGUUAUGCCCCAAAAACACAACGGGGGAAGGAAAGGCCACCGUGUGUCCCCCUCCCCUCCCCCCCCCCCCACGCCAUGGGACACAGCCCUGCACCCAACGCAGCCGUGCUGUUUGUUUGGUGACUGUUCUGCUGUGUCUAUUUUUAGCUGGUGACGCCCGGGGUAUUUCGCUUCAGGAUGUCCGGUCUGAGCCUCUUUCUGGGAAUCCCAUGUUCUCUAAUUGUAAACAGCCCCACUCAGUUGCUGCAAGCACCGAGAGGCCCCGACUCAUACAGCGGGGCUGUCAGGUGUGAGUCAAACAGGAAGCUGCUGCCGCUUCCACAAGCAAAGCGUCGGGUGUGAAAAAGUGCUCCAUUCACACAGCCCCACAGCCCAGCCCAGAUCCCACAGCGUGGGGUGCCUCUGGAAGUGGGACCGGCUCCGUCCCUCCUCCAAAAUGCUGUCCCUGGGAGAAAAAGGGCUCCCGAGGGCCUCGCGCGUGGAUGUCGUUGCAGUGGUGCAAAGGGAGAGGGGAUGGGUGAGAUUGGGACGGGAUGGGAAGGGGAUGAGGAUGCUGAAGGAAUGGGAUGGGGAUGCUGAUGAGGAUGGGAUGGGAUGGUGAUGCCAAUGUAGGAGGUGCAGAGGCACAAGAGGGGACAGGAUGGAAAUAGGGAGCAGUUUUAGCCCCAUCUCCCACCCCGUGGGGCUGAGCUGAAGCAGCUGCCAACUUGGCUCAGAAACACUGACAGGGAGCAGUUUGGUCCUCUGCUAACAGCAGCCUGCUGCUGCCCCUGUGCAUUAACCCAGCCUGGGGUGACCCAAACACAUGUUCCCUGGGCCUUAGGAGAUGGGCAUCCAGGUCUGCAUCACCCCAGGGCCCAAGCACUGUGCAAAGGGAUGGGGUGUAAGGGCAUAGGAUGCCCUUACAGGAGAGGACCUGCCACAGUGACCACAACUAUUGCAGCAUGCAGGAUAGGAAGGCACUAAAAUGUGUGCCCUAAUUUCACUGGGGCCACAAAGAGCUGCAGCAGCACCAGCAGCCCUUUGCACCCCACCAUCUGAGCCCUCAGAUUCCUGCAAGCAGCAGCGAUGGCACCACGCUGCUCCCAGGGACCCAGCAGCAAUCCUCACAGCUCCACUGCUCUGAAGGUCCCAAAUGUCAGCAGUGCAACAACAGAGACAGCAAAAUCCUCCCUUGUGCUCCUCUGAAAUUGCAGCAUCACGGAGCUUGGUGACCUCUGCAUUGGAAGCAAUUUUGCACAGGGUAGGAAGGUCAGAGCCAACACCUGCAGCGCUGUUACAGGAGGCUGAUGCUCCUCCAGCCUCCCCAGCACCACAAACCUGGCGCACCUUGCAGCCUUUUGGGUCCCUUUGGGACAUCACACUCCUCAGCCAUCCCCCCGCCCAUCCCUGCCCUCUGCAUGGGCUCAAAACCCAGUGAGGAACUGAGCCAGCUGAGCAGCCCAUGGUGCUUUCACGGCUGAGGAGGGGCAGAGGACAGUGCUUACAGAAGGGUAAGGAUGGGUAGGAUGCUGUAACGUAGCCUGUAGGAACCCAUCCACACCAAACAUCCCCACGGACCUCAGCACUGAGCUCCCCAAAAGGAGCCGUGCGCGGAGCACGGUUGUACCCAUCCCUUAUCUGACUCAUUUCAGCAUCUCAGGGGAAACCCUGGCAUUGAUAAACAGCGCUCUGCUCUCUGCCUCCACAUUCACCAACCGAAAUCUGGAGUCUAUUUUUAACCCUCUGACACCCACAGCCGGGAGGGAGCCGGCAGCUCCCCGCGCUCGUGCCGUUGUUUACCGGGUGGGUGAAGUGACUGCAGCACUGGUGAGGUAUCGAGCAAAGUGAGACCAAAACAAGAGUGCUGAUGUGUCAUGCCACCACUUUCCAUGCUCGGCGCCUGCACUGUGCCCCCGGAUGGGGUAUGCAAAACCAGAAAGCUCCCAUGCUUUAAUUUUCCAGCACAUCCCCAGAUGAGUGUGCUGCUCAGCCUGCUCGUGGUCCACCGCCUGCUGGGGGGGGCUGGGCUGCAUGCAUGGCCAUGGAUGAAUGGGGAAAAGAACCUAAGGAGGAGAUGGGUUCAUCCUGCAGCACGGAUGUGGCAUGAAGGCUGCCUGAAUCCAGCAGGGCGGGCAGAGCUGCCACUGCUCGGAGCCUUCAUGGAGCUUUUUGCACGCUGCUUGUGCACGGGGGAGCGGAUGCUUUGUGGUCAGGGCAGGACACAGUGUGCUUCCUCCCGUUCUGGAGGAUCCAAGAGCAAAGCUUCCAGCUUUCCCUUGGGGAAACACCUCCACUCUGACCACUGCAGGAUAGAGAGGUCUGGUUGUAAUUCCUGCCUGAACAAAGGCUGCCUUGAACAGCAGCGUCCCAACCCCACCGCAGCACAACACCUGGUGCUCCCUUCCCAAAGCCCCCACACUCUCUGCAAGGCUUUUGGUGACCGCUGACUCCAGGAUGGCUUUAGAAUUGCUGGCUGGUUCCUGGCACCACAACAAGCAGCUCCUUUUGCUCUGCUCUCUGCCCAUCCCCAGCUCAGCUGGGAGGCAUCGCAUCACCCCGGUCUCCUCAUCCAGCCAGGAGCCUCACAUCCAGCAACACAACCUCACCUAGGAGACAUUCUCUCCUUGGGUUUAACGAUGGAAACCAUCUGCUGUUGCGUUGCUCAGAGCUUCACGCAGACUUCUUGCCUUCUCUCUGGGCACCAACUUUAAAGCUCCACCUUGCCUCCCCAGCAGCCCAGAAAUAACUCAGAAGACACAAAUCCAUCUGGUAGCCCCAGUUGGUCUCCAUUUCCCCAUCACAGAGGGGGCAGAGCCAUGUGCCUGUCUCCGAGCUGCCGGUCCCUCUCCGGCUCUUCCUGCUCUGCUGCAGCGUUGUGCUGUAAAACCUUCAUUUCCUGACACGCAUGGGAUGAGGCCAAGGGGUCGUGUUUUGGACAACCUGCCUUUUCCAUGGCAACUGGCAAUGAUGUCAGCGACGUGCAAUGAUCGGAAGGGGCCGGGGGAACGGUGAGCUCUCCAGGAACCAGGCAGGAGGGGCUGCUGUGGUGGUGUCCUGGGCUGGAGGAGCCCUGAAGGCAUCUGCCCUCCUCCCAGUCCCAUCCCUCCAUCCACCAUGCUGCUCCAUUCACUGCCAUUGCACAACGCAGAGCAUCCAAUGCUCUCCCCUACAUGGGUGUCUGCAGGACGUGUCUGUCCCGUGGCUGUGGGGUUCUGAGCUCUCCCAUUCCCUCUGUUCCUCCCCAUCACAAACCCCCUCCCUCGAAGGGGGCCCUUUUACAACAGCAAAGUAAUUAAAAGCUCCAGCAGAUGAGGACACCGAUGGCCAGCAUCAGAUUGAAUGCUCCCACACAGCCAUGUCUGUCUGUCCACCUGUCCAGGCUUGCUGUGGCCGGAGGCAUCUGCCGCCACAGCUCUGAGCACACUGCUACAGCAAAGUCCUGUCUGGGUCAGCUCUGAAAUACCAACAAACACACAGAUCAAAACCACCCUCCUAUGCACAGAGUUGCCAAGGGAUCCCCAUCCCAGCUGCCUUUGGUACAACUGGAAGUCCUAUGGACCUCUUUUCCACCUCAAAAGAACCUCUCCAGGUGGGAAGCAUCAUCAGCUCUGUCCCCAUUCAUUAUGCUAUACGGACUGACCUGGGCGUGCUGCUGCAGCCAGAAGGGAGCAAAGCCAGAAGAGCAUUGCAGAGAUGAGAAGCAAGAUUCUGGGAAGCACAAGCCAUGCACCCACAGCAGAGUUCUCACACAAAUUUAUUGGGUAAUCAGUAAUAAUCACCAGCAUUCCCACAGAGCACUUAUCUGCCUAAAAGUCCCAGCAAGGAAAGGAGCAAACAGGGCAGGCUUGGUCCAGCUCCCUGCUUUAACUCUGCCCAUGACAGCAAGUUGUCCAGGUGACCUGGUACAAAUGUACCCUCCUCAACAGCAAAUUGCAUCCGGAACAACCCAUAGGCAUCAGCAGAACAGCAGGGAGAGGCAAAUGGGGUGAUCGUAGGCAUGGAUCUGCACCAAGCGGGUCCAUGAAAGCAGAGGGAUGCGCUUGUGCUGUUGGUGGUAGCACAGAACUGAUGACAAACACCAUCCAAACAGUGGCAAACCUCACCCAAACAGUGGGAAACACCACCACAGUGGUGACAAACACCAUCACAGUGUGACAAACACCAUCAAAGCAGUGAUGCUGCCUUGCCUCCGUAUUGGACCUCAUUGGGAGACUUCAGCCAAAUGUGGGGAAAUGGCCCCACCGGAGCCUAUGGGAACCCAACAGCAUUGGGGUGGGGAAAGAGAAAACAAAACAACCCCACGAGAGGACUUCCAAAAACGCUGCACGAAAAGUGAACACUCAGCAGAGCGAGGUUUCCUGCGCAGUGAGAGUUGGCCGCCGAGUGAACAGGAAAUCACUGCUUCCUGCAUGCAGAGGAAGUGCCUAUCUAAUGCCUGUGAUCAAAAACAAACAUCGCUUCCAUUAAACAAACAAAGGGCCUAAAAACUUCAACAGCUCGCAGCCCAGGUCAGCUCCAGCAGCAGGGGGAUAGCGGCCAAAAAUAAGAAGCUGGUCACCUUGAGAAGGGCCCUCGUCCUCUUCCCUGCGUGGCAAUGUGGUUGCACUGCGUGCAGGAGGCAGUGGGGGGUCGGUGAGCCCCAUCUGUGUCCCCAGCUCUGCUCUCACCCCACAGCAUGGAGGGGAUGGGGGUGGGCACCAACAGUGACCGCAGUGCUUGGGUUUGGUAAAGUGUUGCUCGGAUGCCCUCUCGACCUUCUCCAGGUGAACAGUGCUGGGGCUCUCAGCAUUUGCCCAUCAGGACAUCCAUCAGCUCUGCACCCUCCAUAAGGAUCUCUCCAGCAGUUCCCAGUCUGCCUGGAACUGGGGAACACAGCACUGGGCCCAGUGCUCCAGUCAGCCUUUGGUCAACCCUUGGUCAACUGUUGGCCAACAGGGUUACUAUCGGCCUUCUGGCCAUAGGGGCACACUGCUGGCUCAUGGUCAGCCUUUGGUCAGCCAGCUGCCCGUGCUCGGUCUCUGUGCCUUCUCUUGGAUUUGUUUUGAGAUUUCAUUUCAUCUCUAGAAAUUCCAAACAGCUCUAGAAUUCCCUUCCAAACCGCUGCAGAGAUUCUCUUUGUUCGAAUGCAGAAUCCCUUAUCUUCAGUAUAAUGAAUUCAGGCUAUGGGGAUAGGAAUACUUUCUUACUCCAGAGAAGGACUUACAGACCCCGGGCUAUAAAUCACCCCCGUGAGCAACACAGUCGUGAGGCUCUGCUCAUCUCAGGGCUGGAGGACGCUGCAGGCUGCGCAGCGCCCAGGGACCUCGUGCUGUUAUUCCAGCUUGCUGCAAGCCUUUUGUUUUUGGACAAAUCCCAGCUGGGAGAUUGAUGUGAGGAGGCAGAGCAGGAUCCAGGUGCUGCCCGGCCAUGCUGGGGAAUGGAUCUGUGCAGAGUCCAUCCCCUGAGUUAUGGGCUCUGGGUGUCACCGAAUGCUGCACGCGUGCUGUUUCCCAGACUUAAAGCACAGCCAUGGAGAGGUGGAGGAGGUGGUUUUGCUUCAAGCCCAAAACAAAGAGUGGGGGUUUUUCCAGCCCUGGCUGAGCCCGAAGCUCCGGCAUCGCUCAUUCUGCACACGUCUGAUGCUCCAAACCGUCCUGGCUGGAAAAACCCUGCACUCCCAGCACGAAGCUGAGCACACUAAAAAGAAACAAAGAGGCCGGGGCUGACGCAGGACGGCGUGUUUGAAAGGCAGCUCUCCUCCGCAUUGCUCACAGCAAGACGAGAUGAGAAAUGUGCUUCAGGAACAAAGGAGGGCAAGCAGCAAACAGGGCUGACCCGUGGGGACAGGGAAAGGACAUGGAGACAGGGAAAGGACACGGGGGCAGCACCAUGCACGCCAUCUCCUUGCACCCCCCACCCCUCUGCACCCCCCACCACCUCGCUCGGCCCUCUCCUUGCUGUGGGUUUGCACCAGCACUGCAAAGCCCAUGAUGGCUUUUGCAGACCCGCAUGCAUCCGCCAGGCCCAGCACAGGGCAGGACGCAGCAGCUUUCUCCUCUGUGCAUUUUGCACUCGGGAGAUGCCAACGCGGAGAGCAGCAGAUCCAACCGCAGGCUGAUGGAAAAAAAAUGAUUCCAGCAUCACCCAAAGCCCCGCAACGGACAGCAAAUACGAAGGGUAAGGGAACGUGCACCGGGGCCUUCCUGUGUGGCCACCACACAAAAUCUAUUACUGAGCAGUUUGGCCAGUGAUAUUAAAACCAUCAGGUGCAGCCAGCACGGAUCUGCUGAGUGCUCACAGCACUGAGGCUUUUGGCCUGGUGCACCUGGUUUGUUAAAGAAAUAAUUACAGUUCCCCCAUUUCCUGCUCUGGAAAGAAAACUUCCUAACUAAUCAUAGCCAGUUCAUAUGCAUUUAAAGUGCAUUCAUUCUCCUAUGCAACCACAUAACACGAGGCCGUGUCCGUGCAGGAGGAUCUGCCCAUGGAUGCUCCUUUAAACGCCAUCUGCUCCUUCCUGAUGCAGCGCUGCAGCCCUAUGCUGGCGGAUCGAAGGGCUGCUGAGGCCGUUCCAUCCCUGGCUGGAAAAUCCAUGCAACAUCCCUGGAAAGUUGCUGGCUGCUGUGGAAGUGGCGGCCAAUUUCCUCAUUGUGAAGGUGCCAAGAACAGAGAUGAACUCCCGGAGGCUGCGACGGAGGGGGCUGUGGGCACUGAGCUGGGAAAGAUGGCAGAAGGAGCAGUGAGGCUCUCAGCUCCUCCCAGAAAUCAACGAGACUCAGUGAUGCCUCACAUCCAAGGGCUUCGUCUCCAUUUAUACGAGCACUCAGCUCCUGCUGGGAGCACAGCUGUCCCGGGCAGCACGGUGCUCAGGGGGUGUCCUCCUGCUGCAGGCUCUGGUCGGUAUCACAGCUGAUGCUGCUUCAUUCCAUCUCCACCUUUACUUCUGAGUUGUGAAGCCCAAUGUUAUCCCUCAAUGGGGUUCAGCUGAGUGUGGCAGUUUUCUGUUAGCUGAAGGACUCGGAUCCUCCCUGGAGCGGAGCAGCCCUUCCACGACCACCCAACCCAUCACCCAUCCCCAAACCCCUCCACCUACAGCUCCCAUCCCAUAUCCAGGCACCCCAUAGCAUUGCCCAGAGCUGCUGCAUUGAGCAGAACUCCCUAUGAGCAAAUGCCACAAACACAGACGGGAUGGGGGGAAAACAUGCAGGGUUGCAUUGGACCAAGAAAUGUGAUUUUAAGGAGUCCAAAAAGCUCAGCACGCAUUGAGGCUGCUCUGACUCAGCGCUCUGAUUGACUUUUGCACAACAGGUUCUGCUCUUUCAUACCUUGUGUGAUAAUUCCCCAGCCGUAACACCCAGAAUCACACCUCAUACCAGGAGGUUUCUCCUUUCAGAGCCUCCCACUGCAUGCUCAGGGCACAAAGCCCAUCUCCUCAGCCUCACAUCUGCACCUGAUGGCACAGGCAUUCCUUUCUUCUGUUUUUUACCCCCAAAGAAUUCAGCUCCCAUGAGAUUAAAGCACACUGAAGGCUCAGCACUGCCCGGGUACCCCGUUGCAUGGUACCCCAUUGCAUGGGAGAAGUGGGGCACAUCGCCCUGCCUCCCCACACCGGUGGCCAAAGCCUGUCCAGAGCUGCUUUCCUACAGCAGAUACAACCACUCAGCACCUGACCCAAUUUCCUGCUCUCAGCUGCAAUCUUCCAGUGUUUUUUAACACGAAAUCCCAUUGUUUGCACGUGCCCAGGUUUACCCUGUUAACCCAUAUCCCCCUCCGUCAGUCUCUUUUGUCUGUUUUCCAUCAGCUGCUCCCAAAGCCCACACCAGGAGGAUUCCACUCAUCCAGAUUAGAAGCACAAUCCAAUAUCCCUCGUGGUUGGGCUGAGUGGUUGCCAGAAGAGCCUCUUCCUCUUCCUCCUCCUCUUCCUCCUCCUCUUCCUCCUCCAGCCACCACCAGGUUUGUCCCCUUCACCUGGCCGGAUUCCUGCUGGCGUGGGAUCCACCCUUACUGUGGUUCUCCCCCACCUCCCGUCUGUGUUCCAGAGCAGGAAGCAGCAACGUGGGAAGCUCACCUGUAAUAAAGCUUUGAGGCUUUCUUAUCUCAUUUUGGCACAGAGGAUUACAACAGGCUUUGGGGGCUGCUCUUUUCCAUGCCCGGUCCCAAAGGCCUCAGACACCCCGUGGCAUUUCCCGAACUCAGAUACUGUUUCCUACGAAUCAGAUUUCAGCACAGACAGCAGAUCCUGGAGACAGAUGGAGACGAGGAGGAAAAUCCCCACACGAGAGCUCAGACAUCGACUGCAGCGUCUGGCUGAUUGGGCUGCGUGCUCUGCUCGGCCCUUUGCAGGGUCUGCAACACCUGUGGCACUGCUGCCCUCUGCCCCUCUGUACCACACGGCUGCACAGCCCACGUGCAUCACCUGUCCUUAUUCUGCACGCUGCAUUUCUCCCCACUCCCCAAAGUAAGGUGAGGGUAAGGAAUGCGCUGCGAGCCACUCAGAGAGCAGAGGAGCAGACACGAGCAGGACAGGGGCUGCUCUGAUCUCAGCAUCCUUUGGAGUUACAGCCCCUUCUCCUUUGUUCCCAUUGACACCUGAGAGCAAAACAGCAGCAGAGGCAAAGAGAGGACUGCCAGGAAACAGCGCUGCAGCCCCAGCCUGCACUGCUCCCCACGGCCCCACGUCACCAAUCCAUGCACAGCAGAGCUCCCUGCUGCUCCAGCCCAUCUCUUGCUUUGCUGCUUAAAACAGGAAAAGGCAGCAAGCAGAGCAACGCGGGCAGCAGAGGAGGGGUGCAGCCCCCCACACUGUGCAGCCCCCAGCUCCAAAACCACACCUGGCACCGCAGGACGGCCCUCCCGCAGUGCAGCUCAUGGGAACACGGUUGCAUCACGUUUGUUUUGCUUUGCUUUGCUUUGGAGAGGAGGAUUCCUCCCACCGUGUUGAGCAGCCCGUGUCACACGGCUGGCCCAGGUGACAUAGGUGACAAUGCCACCCACAGAUGGGACAGCACAGUGGGGGCAUGGGGAGAGCACGAUGGGGACAGCGCAAUGGGACGGCGCAAUGGGGACAUGGGGAUGGCACAGUGGGGAUGGUACAAUGGGGAUGGCACAAUGGGGACGGCGCAAUGGGGCCAUGGGGAUGGUACGAUGGGGACGGCGCAAUGGGGACGGCACGAUGGGGAUAUUGGGAUGGCACAGUGGGGAUGGCACGAUGGACUUGGUACAAUGGGGACAUGGGGACAGUGCAAUGGGGGUGGCACGACGGGGAUACUGGGAUGGUACAAUGGGGACAUGGGGACAGUGCAAUGGGGAUGGCACGAUGGGGAUACUGGGAUGGCACAAUGGGGACAUGGGGACGGCACAAUGGGGACAGCAUUGGCACCAGCUUGGGUUGGGUUGGAGCAGCUGGGGCACAUUGCAGCGUCACGCGCGUGGGACCCCCGGUACUCACCGUGGCUUUGUCCUUGCAUCCAGAGGAGUUAAAGCCCUUGGAGAUGCGGCCGCAUUGUCCGAGAUGUGCUCGGGGGGAGGCAGCUGCUUUCUUUAUAUCUCAAGAUUCACUGAAGUUCAGGAAGAGAGAAAGAGAAAAGAGAGGGGAAGGCGAAAGGGGAGGGACUGAGCAAAGGGCCCAGAGGCCGUAUAGAAUGACAAUGGAAGGAAAUGCUUUAUCAAACCUAGAAAGCCAACCCUGUCCUGGGAACACAGAGGGAGAAAAAAAACUCGCCGAAGAAAAGCGAGUUCAGCUGCCUCGGUUCCUCCCUUGGCAGCAGCCCUCCUCCCCCAUCCCCUCGCUGCAAACACAAUGCGAGCCCAAAGCGGCCGGCUCCAACACUUUUUUUUUUCAUUAAACAGAGAGAAGUUUCAGUUCUUUACAAAAAAAAAAAAAAAGAAAGAAAAAGAAAAAGAAAAACCCAACAACCAAACCCUGCCCGGGAAUGGGAAUGUGACGCUCUUCCCCCUCCCCCGGCUGCAGCCUUCCAAGUUUCUAUGAGUCAAACGUUUGCAAUGUGUUACCGAAAUGUUACCAAGCUGGAAUGCGGCAUCCGAGAGGGUUUCGCUAAUAAAACUUCUGUUUGUUGGCUGGGAGAAAAGUGACACCGGCACAGAACGCCGCUCUUCUGCCUUUUGCUUUGCCCAUCCGGGUGCUGAGAGAGAGGAACCCGACGAGAGGGCAUCGAUGUCCCAAUGGGAAAUGGCGCUGCCAGGGGAGAUGCUGAGGGAAGUGGUAAAUGCGAUGCUGCAGGUGGGGAAUGGAGGUGAAACGUCGGGGCUGGUCCUGCAGCACGGUGAGGAUGGGCCCAGAGCUGAGAGCCCGAAGCCCUUCAGGCAGGUUUUGGAUCAGGAAUUGGGUCAGAUUUUGGAUCCUCGCCCCGCAGCUCCUGGGAUCAUUGCCGCUUCAUGGGAUGGCUGGGUUGGAAGGGACCUCCGUCCCAAAAUGGGGAUUCCAAUGAAGACAACUGAGCUCAAUUCUCUACAGAGUUCUAGGAAACCCAGUGCUUCCCAGUGUCACAAAACACACAGCAGGUGGGAAUUAGGUGAUCUCUGAGGUCCCUUCCAACCCAACCAUCCUAUGGUUCUUUGAUGACGAGAUGGGUUUUGGUUUUUGGGUUGGAGAACCACCACUGACCUGUCCUGGCUAUUUCCAGCCCGUGCGUGCUUUCUCCUUUGAUGCCAUUGGAACAACAAUGGUGGAAAAGAGGGAGUACGAUGGACCUCCUCCCACCUCCAAAAACCAACUCCUGGUUAAGCAGGUCGUUGUGAGACCAGGAACAGCCCAGGUCUACAGAGGCAGAAGUUCAGUUUGGCUGUUCCAUGGGAAAAUGCCCAUUUAUCCUCAAAAUGGAAGCAGCAACAUUCACAUUCAACAGAACGAAAGGGAACUUGGGGGGAUCCAUCAGACUUCUGUGGGUUUCUCCCCAAAUACAGAGGUGUUCCAGGCAGCUCCGUCCUGAAGGAGCCCUGCAGUGUCCCCAUAUGGGGUCACUCCUGCUCUGCUCGGAGCCAAUCCUGAGUUGCAAACUUUUCCCCCGUUGGAUCCUGGCUUUGUGUGCACGUUGAGGUGCGUGGAGUCCUUUCACACAGCAAAGUGCCAAAAGCAGAGCUGUCCAAACCCAGAGAUAAGGGACGGGGCCUUGCUUUAACAAAGAGGCAUUUCCAUAUCUGAGGAAGUGAGGCAAUUCUGCCUCGUUAAGAAGGCUGACAAAAGUCUC
RNAcentral lists this long non-coding RNA (11216 nucleotides) under Gallus gallus (chicken). RNAcentral describes it as "lncRNA (ENSGALG00010025872.1)". Lineage: Eukaryota; Metazoa; Chordata; Aves; Galliformes; Phasianidae. The record is from RNAcentral.